UGGUUCUCCGAGUUACUUCAUGGCAAGAUUUUGUGCCCAUUGUGGCAGAGGAUUCCUCUGUAUCAACCAUUGUUUAGGAGAAGUAGAGUUUAGAGUAGAUCGAAACCAGAAAACCUAGAUUUAGGUUUAAUGCUCUGAUACCAUGUCAAGAACCUUAGAAGUUAUAAAAGGGUUUCUUAUUUUGAUUCAUCGUCAAGGCAAUGCCUUAAAUACAAAGAUAUAUGUUACACAAACUAUGUUAACCUAAUGACGUUAACAAUAUACAUCG
Molecule: long non-coding RNA, 268 nt
Filed under: Brassica napus (rape)
Lineage: Eukaryota; Viridiplantae; Streptophyta; Magnoliopsida; Brassicales; Brassicaceae
Description: long non-coding RNA (BNAP_LNC025604)
Source: RNAcentral